GCAAACGUAGUCAAGCGGCAACGACGCCAGCCUCGAGAGCUGGUGAGCCUCGGCUCCCAGGGGUUCGAGUCCCCUCGUUUGCG
This 83-nucleotide transfer RNA is filed under the name Promethearchaeota archaeon. RNAcentral describes it as "Candidatus Lokiarchaeota archaeon (microbial mat metagenome) tRNA-Ser". It matches the Rfam family "tRNA". From Rfam's summary of the family: Transfer RNA (tRNA) molecules are approximately 80 nucleotides in length. Lineage: Archaea; Promethearchaeati; Promethearchaeota. The record is from RNAcentral.